CUCCCUAUAGUUCAAUGGAUAGAACGAGUGCCUCCUAAGCGCUAGAUACAGGUUCGAUUCCUGUUGGGGGGACCA
Molecule: transfer RNA, 75 nt
Filed under: Acidovorax sp.
Lineage: Bacteria; Pseudomonadati; Pseudomonadota; Betaproteobacteria; Burkholderiales; Comamonadaceae
Description: tRNA-Arg
Rfam family: tRNA
About the family: Transfer RNA (tRNA) molecules are approximately 80 nucleotides in length. Their secondary structure includes four short double-helical elements and three loops (D, anti-codon, and T loops).
Source: RNAcentral